RNAcentral lists this ribosomal RNA (629 nucleotides) under uncultured bacterium. RNAcentral's name for it is "bacterial SSU rRNA". It matches the Rfam family "Bacterial small subunit ribosomal RNA", at positions 125 to 731 of the family's 1533-position model. The record is from RNAcentral.
CCUGCCCAUAGGUUGGGAACAACUCCGGGAAACCGGAGCUAAUACCGAAUAACAUUUAUUGAACGCAUGUUUAAUAAAUCAAAGAAGGCCUCUCGAAGAAGCUUUUGCCAAUGGAUGGAUCCGCGUCUGAUUAGCUAGUUGGUAAGGUAACGGCUUACCAAGGCGACGAUCAGUAGCCGGCCUGAGAGGGUGAACGGCCACACUGGGACUGAGACACGGCCCAGACUCCUACGGGAGGCAGCAGUGGGGAAUCUUCCGCAAUGGGCGAAAGCCUGACGGAGCAAUGCCGCGUGAAUGAAGAAGGCCUUCGGGUUGCAAAGUUCUGUUGAGAAGGAAGAAAGGUAUUAGAGCUAGUACCUCUAGUAUUUGACGGUACUUUUUGAGGAAGCCCCGGCUAACUACGUGCCAGCAGCCGCGGUAAUACGUAGGGGGCAAGCGUUGUCCGGAAUCACUGGGCGUAAAGCGCAUGUAGGCGGGAUAUUAAGUCAGGUGUGAAAACUAUGGGCUCAACCUGUAGAUUGCAUCUGAAACUGGUAUUCUUGAGUAUUGGAGAGGAAAGUGGAAUUCCUAGUGUAGCGGUGAAAUGCGUAAAUAUUAGGAGGAACACCAGUGGCGAAGGCGACUUUCUG